Molecule: RNA transcript, 2791 nt
Organism: Folsomia candida
Lineage: Eukaryota; Metazoa; Arthropoda; Collembola; Entomobryomorpha; Isotomidae
Gene name: tolloid-like protein 1
Exons: 5
Source: RefSeq, a predicted model, not a curated record
UUGAAGUGAAUACGAGUAAAAUAUUUCAACCGGAUCUUUUAGCCCGAGUCAGACCUUUUGUCACCGCCAUGUUCAGCCUGUUAAUUUGAAAAAAACUUUUUUCUUAUUAACGGGUGAAAGCCAUUUAUAGAUCGCUAUGUCCGUCCGACCGUCUGUCCGUCUAUCCGUCCGUCCGUCCGUCUGUCCGUCUAUCCGUGUCCGUCCGUCUGUCCGUCCUUCCGUCUGUCCGUCCUUCCGUCUGUCCGUCCUUCCGUCUGUCCGUCCUUCCGUCUGUCCGUCCUUCCGUCUGUCCGUCCUUCCGUCUGUCCGUCCUUCCGUCUGUCCGUUUGUCCAAUAACUUUUGAACGAAAAGACAUAGAGAUUUGAAAUUUAGAAGGUAAACUCCUAAUGUUAAAGGAUAGUACGAGUUCGAAGACGGGCACUGUAGGUCACACCAUUCAAGGUCAAAAUGUCAUGAAAUAUCACUCAAAGAAAUUGCAUACAUAUGUCAAUUUGAACUGAAGUUUAACUUUGAAUGCAGUGCUGACCUCCAUCUCGACUUCAAAGGUCACGAAAGGUCGCUUAGAGGUCACUGAAAGAUCACCAACCGUAUAAUAUGAUACGUGUAUCAAUAUAAACUGAAAUUUAACCCCGAAUUCAAUGGUGACCUCCAUUUUGACCUAAAAUGCAACGAAAGGUCACUUGAAUGUUACAAAAAGGUAAUCAAUCGUUAAAUUUGAGAUAUUUGUUAAUAUUGUUUAAAACACAUCACACAUGUCAUUUUUUACUAAUUUUGAAACGACAAACACAAUAUGAUGUUCGGUUUGAUGGAUAACACACGUCGUUACAAUUUUUCAUGCAGAUAUGCAUUUACCAAAUACUGAUAAUUUCCAAACAUCAUCAAGACAGUCUAAGCUUCAGUACUACGCAUCCCAACUCACAAUGGAGGUUUCCAACGUAUUGUAAUGCGAUAAGUAUUAUGUUAUAAUGGGAAGAGGAGAUGAUGUAAAACUUGAUAUAAUCCCUCUCACAUGUACAUACGUCCUUUUCGCGACCUAUUUCUAACCUCCUGGGGGAGGUCACCCUAUCUUUUCGGUUAGGAACAGUUAAAUGACUGAAGGCAACACAAAGGGGGUUCUCUUAAAUAAUAAAUAUUUAUUUAAAGCUGGAAUAUGAAUUAUUUUACACGCUAUAAAAUAUUAAUGAAGAAGAACCCAAAAAUAAAGAUGUUGCUCAUAAGGAGGUAUUAGACUGAAUCACUUUCCAAAGAGAGAAAAAGAAGGAGGAAAAGAAGAAGUGAGACGAAGGCAAGGUUGCCUCGUUAUCCUCACCAGUGGGAGAAAAAUCUUCCGGUUAAUGCCAGAUGGCAGGAAGGAUAGAUUUCUCCCCUGGUGGGUCGGAUUGAGACCCGUAUCACUGGUGUGGUACGGGUUACAGUAUGCUCACAGAUUUGGAUCAAGCUAGCGUCAAUCGAUCACAAAUAUAAUUAGUAUAAAAUUUGUAAAUGGAACUAAAUAUCUGCGAAUGCACAGGUUGCGCGGACAUAUUUGCAUCCAUAGCGGGAAAAAUUGGCAGCAAAUUUAGAAAAUUAAAAAUUUGCCAGCCUUACGGGUGCGUUUUCUCCGUUUUUUUUACAAAUAUCUCCGCUAAACUUGAACAUUGGCAGAUAUUGCCAUUUGCAAAUUCUAUACUAAUCAUAUUCGUGAUUGAUUGACGCUAGUUUGGCCCAAAUCUGUGAGCAUCCUUUGGGAGACCUCCAUGGUUAGUAGCCUCACAAUGUGCAAAGGCUUCUUACCAAAUUCAAUAUUAGCAUUUGAAAUAAGUAUUAGUGACAAUUUCAAAAUUUCAAGAGAAUUAGUGACGGGUAUGGUGACUUAUAAUAAUCUGAAUCGGGCUAUCGGAGAUUAUACUGUAGGCUGUUGCUGUUGCUCAUUAAACAUCAGAAUGGGCAAAUUUACCUUAUUAUCUGUACUGACGCUACACAUCCUUACUGCCGAGAUAUUCGCAGAUGAAGGUUACCCCGGGUUCCCCUCCCCGUUCCCGACAGGAGCCAACAAGAGUUAUUACCUGCAUGCGGGAAACGAAGGAGGGAAAGUUUUCCUUCAUUUCGAUCUCUUAGACUUACAAGGAUAUAGUUCUUCAGUUCGUUCUCGCUUGACGACUCCCAUCUCUCUUUUUAAUGCGUGUCAUGGUAUGAGCACAAUAUCUACAAGACGGGGUAUGCUACCCCGGGUUUUUGGGGUAUUGCGAGUUUUGGUGGGUUUUGGUGUAGCAAAUUUAAGCAAUAUGUAGUCGGGGUUUUCAAUCAAAUUUUGCAAAAUAUGAUUACAAAAUAUGAAGACAAGGAUGGAUGUGAAAUCCAUUCUAAAAACUACCCUUCAAAUUAUUCCAACUGGGCCCUUGAACAAUGGAUAAUUGAAGUUCCGUUGACAAAUUUGGUCUUACUUGACUUUAAAGAUUUCGACACUGCGCCGUCAGACGUUGUAUCGAUUAGGAAUGGAAAUUCUGCGGACAGUCCACUUGAACAGAGUUAUUCUGGAAACGAAAUUCCUCCUCGAUACUUGUCCAAAAGUAACAAACUGUUUGUAAGCUUUAUCACAUUCGGAAAUGGAGGAGGAAAAGGAUUUUUUGCAAAAUUCGUUGCAUAUGUCCCAAAUCCAGUGUAAAUUUGAUCGGUUAAUGGUUCCUCUUGGAUUCUGGAAAUUAAUUGUAAAACGUUGAACGACAGAUAUGUAUCAAGUUGAAUAAUUUUGUGGAAUUAAUUUCAAUAAAUUACACUGCACGAAUAAAUGAAUAAAUAUUUGUUUAUGAA